UGAUUUAAAUUGGAAUAAAUUGCCGUUAAAUUAUGGAGCGAUUGAAUCGGUUAUACAAUUUAAAUUCGAUUUACUUCAAAGGAAAGGCCAUAAUUUUUGGAUUCACUUCCAUAGUCCAGAUGAAUUUCCAAAUACGGAUAGUAAUCGCCAUUUUCAUUUGUACGAUGACGAAGUUCAGGAAUUUUUAAUAAAAACAACUCCAGUCGAAAAUGCAAAAAAUGUUCGGGAUAUUUCGAUUGAAGGGCGCAAUUGUAGAUUUUCGGACGAACGAUGGCCCGAAAA
Long non-coding RNA from Contarinia nasturtii (swede midge), 282 nucleotides. RefSeq lists it as uncharacterized. The record is from RefSeq and is a predicted model, not a curated record. The transcript is spliced from 3 exons. NCBI's taxonomy places the organism in Eukaryota, Metazoa, Arthropoda, Insecta, Diptera, Cecidomyiidae.